GUCUUCGGAUCGUAAAGCUCUGUUGUUAGGGAAGAACAAGUACCGUUCAAAUAGGGCGGUACCUUGACGGUACCUAACCAGAAAGCCACGGCUAACUACGUGCCAGCAGCCGCGGUAAUACGUAGGUGGCAAGCGUUAUCCGGAAUUAUUGGGCGUAAAGCGCGCGCAGGCGGUCCUUUAAGUCUGAUGUGAAAGCCCACGGCUCAACCGUGGAGGGUCAUUGGAAACUGGGGGACUUGAGUGCAGAAGAGGAGAGCGGAAUUCCACGUGUAGCGGUGAAAUGCGUAGAGAUGUGGAGGAACACCAGUGGCGAAGGCGGCUCUCUGGUCUGUAACUGACGCUGAGGCGCGAAAGCGUGGGGAGCGAACAGGAUUAGAUACCCUGGUAGUCCACGCCGUAAACGAUGAGUGCUAAGUGUUAGAGGGUUUCCGCCCUUUAGUGCUGCAGCAAACGCAUUAAGCACUCCGCCUGGGGAGUACGGUCGCAAGACUGAAACUC
RNAcentral lists this ribosomal RNA (498 nucleotides) under Bacillus sp. N7. RNAcentral describes it as "bacterial SSU rRNA". It matches the Rfam family "Bacterial small subunit ribosomal RNA", at positions 414 to 902 of the family's 1533-position model. The record is from RNAcentral. Lineage: Bacteria; Bacillati; Bacillota; Bacilli; Caryophanales; Bacillaceae.